GGUUGACCUCGGAUCAGGUAGGGAUACCCGCUGAACUUAAGCAUAUCAAUAAGCGGAGGAAAAGAAACCAACAGGGAUUGCCUCAGUAACGGCGAGUGAAGCGGCAAGAGCUCAAAUUUGAAAGCUGGCCCCUUCGGGGUCCGCGUUGUAAUUUGCAGAGGAUGCUUCGGGUGCAGCCCCCGUCUAAGUGCCCUGGAACGGGCCGUCAUAGAGGGUGAGAAUCCCGUCUGGGACGGGGUGUCUGCGUCCGUGUGAAGCUCCUUCGACGAGUCGAGUUGUUUGGGAAUGCAGCUCUAAAUGGGUGGUAAAUUUCAUCUAAAGCUAAAUACUGGCCGGAGACCGAUAGCGCACAAGUAGAGUGAUCGAAAGAUGAAAAGCACUUUGAAAAGAGAGUUAAACAGCACGUGAAAUUGUUGAAAGGGAAGCGUUUGCGACCAGACUCGCCCGCGGGGUUCAGCCGGCACUCGUGCCGGUGUACUUCCCCGUGGGCGGGCCAGCGUCGGUUUGGGCGGCCGGUCAAAGGCCCUCGGAAUGUAUCACCCCUCGGGGUGUCUUAUAGCCGAGGGUGCAAUGCGGCCUGCCCGGACCGAGGAACGCGCUUCGGCUCGGACGCUGGCGUAAUGGUCGUAAAUGACC
Molecule: ribosomal RNA, 636 nt
Filed under: Aspergillus duricaulis
Lineage: Eukaryota; Fungi; Ascomycota; Eurotiomycetes; Eurotiales; Aspergillaceae
Description: eukaryotic LSU rRNA
Rfam family: Eukaryotic large subunit ribosomal RNA
Source: RNAcentral